GACGAACCGUCCAAACGUUAUUCGGAAUUACUGGGCUUAAAGGGUGCGUAGGCUGCGCUGUAAGUCGGGUGUGAAAUCCCUCAGCUUAACUGAGGAAUUGCGCCCGAUACUGCAGUGCUCGAGGGAGAUAGGGGUCAGCGGAACUGAUGGUGGAGCGGUGAAAUGUGUUGAUAUCAUCAGGAACACCGGUGGCGAAAGCGGCUGACUGGAUCUCUUCUGACGCUGAGGCACGAAAGCUAGGGUAGCGAACGGG
RNAcentral lists this ribosomal RNA (253 nucleotides) under uncultured bacterium. Its description in RNAcentral is "partial 16S ribosomal RNA". It matches the Rfam family "Bacterial small subunit ribosomal RNA", at positions 524 to 776 of the family's 1533-position model. The record is from RNAcentral.